AAUAUUGGACAAUGGGCGCAAGCCUGAUCCAGCCAUGCCGCGUGAGUGAUGAAGGCCUUAGGGUUGUAAAGCUCUUUCACCGAUGAAGAUAAUGACGGUAGCGGCAGAAGAAGUCCCGGCUAACUCCGUGCCAGCAGCCGCGGUAAUACGGAGGGGACUCGCGUUGUUCGGAAUUACUGGGCGUAAAGCGCACGUAGGCGGAUUGGUCAGUUAGGGGUGAAAUCCCGGAGCUCAACUCCGGAACUGCCUUUAAUACUGCCAGUCUAGAGUCCGAGAGAGGUGAGUGGAACUCCUAGUGUAGAGGUGGAAUUCGUAGAUAUUAGGAAGAACACCAGUGGCGAAGGCGGCUCACUGGCUCGGUACUGACGCUGAGGUGCGAAAGCGUGGGGAGCAAACA
This 397-nucleotide ribosomal RNA is filed under the name uncultured bacterium. Its description in RNAcentral is "partial 16S ribosomal RNA". It matches the Rfam family "Bacterial small subunit ribosomal RNA", at positions 360 to 774 of the family's 1533-position model. The record is from RNAcentral.